GGUUGUAUGGCCGAGAGGUCUAAGGCGUCCGACUCAAGUUCUAAGUAACUUUCACUUAAGAGAGUGAGUAAUCGGAUCUCGAAAGAGGCAGGAGUUCGAACCUCCUUGCAACCA
Molecule: transfer RNA, 114 nt
Organism: Ascoidea rubescens DSM 1968
Lineage: Eukaryota; Fungi; Ascomycota; Saccharomycetes; Ascoideales; Ascoideaceae
Rfam family: tRNA
About the family: Transfer RNA (tRNA) molecules are approximately 80 nucleotides in length. Their secondary structure includes four short double-helical elements and three loops (D, anti-codon, and T loops). Further hydrogen bonds mediate the characteristic L-shaped molecular structure. tRNAs have two regions of fundamental functional importance: the anti-codon, which is responsible for specific mRNA codon recognition, and the 3' end, to which the tRNAs corresponding amino acid is attached (by aminoacyl-tRNA synthetases). tRNAs cope with the degeneracy of the genetic code in two manners: having more than one tRNA (with a specific anti-codon) for a particular amino acid; and 'wobble' base-pairing, i.e. permitting non-standard base-pairing at the 3rd anti-codon position.
Source: Rfam